This 406-nucleotide ribosomal RNA is filed under the name uncultured bacterium. RNAcentral describes it as "partial 16S ribosomal RNA". It matches the Rfam family "Bacterial small subunit ribosomal RNA", at positions 30 to 526 of the family's 1533-position model. The record is from RNAcentral.
AUUGAACGCUGGCGGCCUGCCUAACACAUGCAAGUCGAACGAGUGGCGGACGGGUGAGUAAUGUCUGGGAACCUGCCCGAUGGAGGGGGCUAACUACUGGAAACGGUAGCUACUACCGCAUACCAUCGUUUGUGCCCUGAUUGGAUUAGCUAGUCGGUGGGGUAACGGCUCACCUAGGCGACGAUCCCUAGCUGGUCUGAGAGGAUGACCAGCCACACUGGAACUGAGACACGGUCCAGAAUCCUACGGCAGGCAGCAGUGGGGAAUCUUGCACAAUGGGCGAAAGCCUGAUGCAGCAAUGCCGCGUGUAUGAAGAAGGCCUUCGGGUUGUAAAGUACUUUCAGCGAGGAGGCGUUACUCGAAGAAGAAGCACCGGCUAACUCCGUGCCAGCAGCCGCGGUAAUAC